This 234-nucleotide ribosomal RNA is filed under the name uncultured bacterium. RNAcentral's name for it is "partial 16S ribosomal RNA". It matches the Rfam family "Bacterial small subunit ribosomal RNA", at positions 524 to 753 of the family's 1533-position model. The record is from RNAcentral.
UACGUAGGGUGCAAGCGUUAAUCGGAAUUACUGGGCGUAAAGCGUGCGCAGGCGGUUAAUGUAAGACAGGUGUGAAAUCCCCGGGCUUAACCUGGGAACUGCAUUUGUGACUGCAUAGCUAGAGUACGGUAGAGGGGGGAUGGAAUUCCGCGUGUAGCAGUGGAAAUGCGUAGAUAUGCGGAGGAACACCGAUGGCGAAGGCAAUCCCCUGGGACCUGUACUGACGCUCAUGCA